This 162-nucleotide ribosomal RNA is filed under the name Maackia hupehensis. RNAcentral's name for it is "5.8S ribosomal RNA". It matches the Rfam family "5.8S ribosomal RNA". Rfam says of the family: 5.8S ribosomal RNA (5.8S rRNA) is a component of the large subunit of the eukaryotic ribosome. It is transcribed by RNA polymerase I as part of the 45S precursor that also contains 18S and 28S rRNA. Lineage: Eukaryota; Viridiplantae; Streptophyta; Magnoliopsida; Fabales; Fabaceae. The record is from RNAcentral.
AAAAGACUCUCGGCAACGGAUAUCUCGGCUCUUGCAUCGAUGAAGAACGUAGCGAAAUGCGAUACUUGGUGUGAAUUGCAGAAUCCCGUGAACCAUCGAGUCUUUGAACGCAAGUUGCGCUCGAAGCCAUUAGGCCUAGGGCACGCCUGCCUGGGUGUCGCA